This is a long non-coding RNA of Micropterus dolomieu (smallmouth bass), 457 nucleotides long. RefSeq lists it as uncharacterized. The transcript has 3 exons. NCBI's taxonomy places the organism in Eukaryota, Metazoa, Chordata, Actinopteri, Centrarchiformes, Centrarchidae. The record is from RefSeq and is a predicted model, not a curated record.
GGACAGAGACAGUGAUGGCACGGAAGCAGGCUUGGACUCUGACUUUGAGCACCCCCUCGACGGCCUUACAGAUGAUGAUGGUGGUGAUGAUGAUGAAGACGAUAACGGGCCAACUUCUGAUUCUGAACACAUGGUUAAUGAUGACAUGAUGAGGUCCCCACUAUACAGAGGAGCAUCUGUUACUCUUGGGCAAACCAUCCUACUUCUGAUGGCCUUUGCUGGAACCGUGGGAUUGACACAAGAUGGUCUGCAAAAACUUCUUCAAAUUUUGAUUCUUGUUCUACCACCAGAUUGCCACUUGCCAGCAACAAAAUAUCUCUUCAAAAAACUAUUCAAAACUGGGAAAUAUGUUUGUCAUAUAUAUUGCCCCAACUGCUUUUGUCUUUUGGAUAAUAAUACAUGUAAGACCUGCCAUCAGGCGUUUGACAAAAACGAACUAAAAAAAAAUGGAAACUUU